RNAcentral lists this transfer-messenger RNA (353 nucleotides) under Acidobacteriota bacterium. RNAcentral describes it as "Acidobacteria bacterium (soil metagenome) transfer-messenger RNA". It matches the Rfam family "transfer-messenger RNA". From Rfam's summary of the family: Bacterial tmRNA, also known as 10Sa RNA or SsrA, is named for its dual tRNA and mRNA-like properties. The record is from RNAcentral. RNAcentral also lists the same sequence under 1 other name. Lineage: Bacteria; Pseudomonadati; Acidobacteriota.
GGGGGCGACCUAGAUUCGACGGAGAUAUUGUUUCGCAGGAUGCGUGCCGAGGACCAUUCACCUCGUAAAUCCAAUGGAAAACAACAUAACUGCGAACACGCAGCUCGCUCUCGCAGCCUAAACCCCUGUGAGCGUCCACUCCGGUCAGCCUGCGGGCCGGUACUGGAUGUCAUUUAAGCAGGCUGGCUGCUGACGGUUGCCUCGGACGUCAGCGGCGAGAUUUUUCGGGGUUGGUGCCUGGCGGUUUUUCCGCUUCUACACGGCGGGCACGACAAUUCAGAGGCGGAUACGCAUCGUAGAUUCCUGCGGGGAUGUAUUUUCGGACCCGGGUGCAAAUCCCGGCGCCUCCACCA